Molecule: transfer RNA, 83 nt
Filed under: Anaplasma centrale str. Israel
Lineage: Bacteria; Pseudomonadati; Pseudomonadota; Alphaproteobacteria; Rickettsiales; Anaplasmataceae
Description: tRNA-Leu
Rfam family: tRNA
About the family: Transfer RNA (tRNA) molecules are approximately 80 nucleotides in length.
Source: RNAcentral
GCGGAUAUGGCGGAAUUGGUAGACGCGCUAGGUUUAGGUCCUAGUGGGCCAGGCCUGUGGGGGUUCGAGUCCCUCUAUCCGCA